GACGAACGCUGGCGGCGUGCCUAAUACAUGCAAGUUGAGCGAUGAAGAUUGGUGCUUGCACCAAUUUGAAGAGCAGCGAACGGGUGAGUAACGCGUGGGGAAUCUGCCUUUGAGCGGGGGACAACAUUUGGAAACGAAUGCUAAUACCGCAUAAUAACUUUAAACAUAAGUUUUAAGUUUGAAAGAUGCAAUUGCAUCACUCAAAGAUGAUCCCGCGUUGUAUUAGCUAGUUGGUGAGGUAAAGGCUCACCAAGGCGAUGAUACAUAGCCGACCUGAGAGGGUGAUCGGCCCCAUUGGGACUGAGACACGGCCCAAACUCCUACGGGAGGCAGCAGUAGGGAAUCUUCGGCAAUGGACGAAAGUCUGACCGAGCAACGCCGCGUGAGUGAAGAGGGUUUUCGGAUCGUAAAACUCUGUUGGUAGAGAAGAACGUUGGUGAGAGUGGAAAGCUCAUCAAGUGACGGUAACUACCCAGAAAGGGACGGCUAACUACGUG
RNAcentral lists this ribosomal RNA (497 nucleotides) under uncultured bacterium. RNAcentral's name for it is "partial 16S ribosomal RNA". It matches the Rfam family "Bacterial small subunit ribosomal RNA", at positions 28 to 507 of the family's 1533-position model. The record is from RNAcentral.